CCAGAUGUGGAAGCCCGGUAACGGGUGGAGCUGACUGGUACUAAUAGGCCGAGGGCUUGUCCUCAGUUG
RNAcentral lists this ribosomal RNA (69 nucleotides) under Streptomyces sp. WM6378. RNAcentral describes it as "partial 23S ribosomal RNA". Lineage: Bacteria; Bacillati; Actinomycetota; Actinomycetes; Kitasatosporales; Streptomycetaceae. The record is from RNAcentral.